AGUGAACGCUGGCGGUAGGCCUAACACAUGCAAGUCGAACGGCAGCACAGUAAGAGCUUGCUCUUACGGGUGGCGAGUGGCGGACGGGUGAGGAAUACAUCGGAAUCUACUUUUUCGUGGGGGAUAACGUAGGGAAACUUACGCUAAUACCGCAUACGACCUACGGGUGAAAGCAGGGGAUCUUCGGACCUUGCGCGAUUGAAUGAGCCGAUGUCGGAUUAGCUAGUUGGCGGGGUAAAGGCCCACCAAGGCGACGAUCCGUAGCUGGUCUGAGAGGAUGAUAAGCGACCUUGGAACUGAGCCACGGUCAAGGCUACUACGGGAGGGAGCAGUGUGGAAUAUUAGGCAGUGGGCGCAAGCCUGAUCCAGCGAUACCGCGUGGGUGAAGAAGGCCUUCGGGUUGUAAAGCCCUUUUGUUGGGAAAGAAAAGCAGCAGGUUAAUACCCCGCUGUUCUGACGGUAACCAAAGAAUAAGCACCGGCUAACUUCGUG
Molecule: ribosomal RNA, 492 nt
Filed under: uncultured bacterium
Lineage: Bacteria
Description: partial 16S ribosomal RNA
Rfam family: Bacterial small subunit ribosomal RNA
Source: RNAcentral